Molecule: ribosomal RNA, 492 nt
Filed under: uncultured bacterium
Lineage: Bacteria
Description: partial 16S ribosomal RNA
Rfam family: Bacterial small subunit ribosomal RNA
Source: RNAcentral
AGUGAACGCUGGCGGUAGGCCUAACACAUGCAAGUCGAACGGCAGCACAGUAAGAGCUUGCUCUUACGGGUGGCGAGUGGCGGACGGGUGAGGAAUACAUCGGAAUCUACUUUUUCGUGGGGGAUAACGUAGGGAAACUUACGCUAAUACCGCAUACGACCUACGGGUGAAAGCAGGGCAUCUUCGGACCUUGCGCGAUUGAAUGAGCCGAUGUCGGAUUAGCUAGUUGGCGGGGUAAAGGCCCACCAAGGCGACGAUCCGUAGCUGGUCUGAGAGGGUGAUCAGCCACACUGGAACUGGGACACGGUCCAGACUCCUACGGGAGGCAGCAGUGGGGAAUAUUGGGCAAUGGGCGCAAGCCUGAUCCAGCCAUACCGCGUGGGUGAAGAAGGCCUUCGGGUUGUAAAGCCCUUUUGUUGGGAAAGAAAAGCAGCAGGUUAAUACCCCGCUGUUCUGACGGUACCCAAAGAAUAAGCACCGGCUAACUUCGUG